CCGAGAUGAGCGGCACAGCUCCAGGCCCCAUUUGCACCUGCUUUCUUCAGUGACUCACAGUACCAACUGCUGCAGCUGUUUUUCAGAUGAGAUUGACAUUUUAAAAGAUGAACUCCGAGUAAAGCAGAUUACCCUCCACAGUGUAAGUGUGUCCCACCCAGCUAGGUGAAAGCCUGAUGAGAAAGAGGAUGGACCUCCCCAGCAUGCAGGAAUUCCACAGCAGUGUCUGGACUCGGGCUGAGACUCUUCCCUGAGUCCCGGCCCGGACUGGGGCUUACACCCCCACAGCCAGUUGUCAGGUAGUUUAUCCCGGUGGUGAGAAAGCGAUUAGGACACUGGCCAUCCAUCCUCCAGGAAGACAGCCUCCACCAGGAACCCAAUGGGUAGCCAACUUGAUAUUGGACUUCCAGACUCCAGAACCUUCUGUGGUUUAAGCAUCCCCAAGUGUGGUAUUUGUGAGGGAAGCCUGAGCUGAGACAGCUAUUAACUCUUUCAGACACUGCUUCAUUACCCAUUAAUACCCAGCCCAGUGCCUGGAAACAAGAAGCCAUCCCAUCACAUAUCUGUGGAAUAAAUAAGUAACAGGAUGAGUGAGAAUAUCAAUUUCUAAAUCAAACAUUUCAGCAGUGUUCAGAAUUCAAACUGCUGCACAUCCCUGGACAUGGCUGGGUCUUCAACAAUCGCUCCUAGAAGAUGAAAGAAGUGUUCUGGGUCAGACUUUCUGGGACUUGGCCUUGGCACGGCUGCCUGGGGACACCUUGACAUCACUGAAGAGAAGCUCCUCCUUCUGCUGUCAGUGGGCCCUGGCUUUUUGCUGCCUUCUGGGAACCCAUGGAAACAGUGCUCUCAGCAAAGGUCCCAGAGCCCAGGCAGGGAGAGGAGGCAUUGCAUUGACCUCUGCUGAGCACAACCUUCCUUGGCUUCUGAGGAAAAAAACCUCAGCAAACUCCCUAGCUUCACUUGCACUUAGUUGACUUAAAUAUCAUUAAUUUUGGAGGUCACACAGCUGAGCAAUACACUAUUAGUCUCCUACCAACUUUGCUGUAGGUAACAACUGUACCACGAGAGUUAUGAAGACAGUGGCUGCCUCGCCACUCUUAAGGGACUUGAAGUCUGCUUUUGCUGAAAACACUUCCCCGCGUCUGCAGGCAUCUGAUGAGUGACUGGAAGGGGAUGAAACUCUUGGCAUUUUUGUCUUCAUACUGUGUCUGUCUCCACGGCCACCUUAACCUUUGCUUCGGAGUCUACUGAGCUCUGCACAUAGAAGUGUUGACCAUUUGAUAAACGUUUUGUUCAAAACUGUAAUUCAGGAUCAAUUUGGCCUCUCUUUCUCUUUCAAGGCUAAUGACACUAUUACAGACAGCUAAGCUAGUUAGAAAUAUUAUAGGCAGUCAGACAGAGCUAGGCCCUCGAAGAAGCCAGUGCAGAAGAUAAGAACUCAUGUAGUGGGUGGAGGGGCAUUCAUUAAAGGUCAGAACUCAAAACAAAGAUGAAAUGACUACACCUACUUCCCCAGGUGUUAUAGUUUGGGUCUGGAUGUUCCCCCAAAGCCUCAU
Heterocephalus glaber (naked mole-rat) is the source of this 1556-nucleotide non-coding RNA. The record is from RefSeq and is a predicted model, not a curated record. NCBI's taxonomy places the organism in Eukaryota, Metazoa, Chordata, Mammalia, Rodentia, Bathyergidae.